This 229-nucleotide ribosomal RNA is filed under the name uncultured bacterium. RNAcentral describes it as "partial 16S ribosomal RNA". It matches the Rfam family "Bacterial small subunit ribosomal RNA", at positions 568 to 796 of the family's 1533-position model. The record is from RNAcentral.
UGCGUAGGUGGACUAAUAAGUCAGGGGUGAAAUCCCACAGCUUAACUGUGGAACUGCCUUUGAAACUGUUAGUCUUGAGUAUAUUUGGAGUGGGCGGAAUGUGUUAUGUAGCGGUGAAAUGCAUAGAUAUAACACAGAACACCGAUCGCGAAGGCAGCUCACUAAACUAUUACUGACACUGAUGCACGAAAGCGUGGGUAGCGAACUGGAUUAGAUACCCUGGUAGUCC